UAGUUGAAAUUUAUUAUUUUUGUUAUUUAUUAUUAUUUAUUAAAAAUAAUUUUAAUUUAAUAUUUGUUUUUGUAUAUUUUAUAGAUAAAAUAUGUGUAUAAUUAUAGUUUAUUAGUAUUGUGAAAGAAUAUUGAAAUAUUAUGAAAAAUUAUUAAUUUAAAAGAAAAUUUGACUUAUUGUACCUUGUGUAUCAGGGUUUAUUAAAUAAAAAAUAUUUAUUAAUAUUUUUCUCGAAUUUAAGAGAUUUAAUUUUAUAUAUUAGUUAAUGUGGAAUAAUUAUUAAUAAUAUAAAAUUAGAAAUGAAAUGUUAUCCGUUCUUAAAUAUAUCUAGUUUUUUAAGAAAUAGAUUUAAUCUAUAUAAUUAAAUAGUAAUUAAUUUAUUUUAAAAUUAAUUAUUUUUAAUUAUAAAUAUUUUUAGGGAUAAGCUUAAAAAUAAAUUUUUAUAAAAAAGGUAUAAAAUUAAUAAUUAUAGGCUUAGAAUUAGUCAUUAUUUAUAAAUAUGUUAUAAUUUAUAUUAAUUUGUAUAAUAUUUAGUUAAUAUUUAAAUUUAUAUUAAAAUAUUUAUUUUAAUUAAAAAAAUAAAGUAAUAAUGAUAAAAUUAGUAUAAAAUUUAUUUAAAAAUUUAUUAUUUUGUAAGGUUUUUUUAAGUAAUUCGGCAAAAAUAAUAUUCGCCUGUUUAUCAAAAACAUGUCUUUUUGAAUUUAUUUAAAGUCUAACCUGCCCACUGAUAAAUUAAAGGGCCGCGGUAUUUUGACCGUGCAAAGGUAGCAUAAUCAUUAGUUUUUUAAUUGAAAGCUUGUAUGAAUGGUUGAACGAAAUAUUAACUGUCUCAUUAAAAUUUAUUUUAUAAUUUAUCUUUUUUGUUCAAAGACAAAAAUUUAAUUAAAAGACGAGAAGACCCUAUAGAGCUUUAUAAUUUUAUAUUAUUAUUAUUAAAGAAUAUUUUUGAUAUUAUUAAAAUAUUAUUUUGUUGGGGUGACAAUAAAAUUUAAAAAACUUUUAUUAUUUUUUAACAUUAAUAAAUGAAUAUUUGAUCCAGUUUUAUUGAUUAAAAAUUUAAGUUACCUUAGGGAUAACAGCGUAAUUUUUUUUAAGAGUUCAUAUCGACAAAAAAGAUUGCGACCUCGAUGUUGGAUUAAGAGUUAAUUUUAGGUGUAGAAGUUUAAAAUUUAGGUCUGUUCGACCUUUAAAUUCUUACAUGAUCUGAGUUCAAACCGGCGUAAGCCAGGUUGGUUUCUAUCUUUAAUAAAAAAAAAUAUUUUAGUACGAAAGGACCAAAUAUUUAAAAUAUAAAUUUUUAGAUUAAGAAUAUUAUU
RNAcentral lists this ribosomal RNA (1316 nucleotides) under Cylindrotoma sp. ZK-2016. RNAcentral describes it as "16S ribosomal RNA". The stretch from base 628 to 1316 matches the Rfam family "Archaeal large subunit ribosomal RNA", at positions 1423 to 2823 of the family's 2987-position model. Lineage: Eukaryota; Metazoa; Arthropoda; Insecta; Diptera; Cylindrotomidae. The record is from RNAcentral.